AUUUAGAUGUUUGUGCAGCUCAUUGGCAGCUUCAACCUGCCACGACUCCCAUGCCUCAACAUAAUGAGCAAAAAGCUCACUUGCAGCUGUAACAUUUGGCAAAUGGAAACAUUUCAACCUCUUCGUUAAGGCAAUAACUACAUGGGAUAUAAACACAGGUUCACAUGAACAAAAAAGCACAUUUUACUCUAGUAGGAGCUAAAUUGAUUUUAGGCAAUAACUACAUGGGAUAUAAACACAGGUUGACAUGAACAAAAAAAGCACAUUUUACUCUAGUAGGAGCUAAAUUGGGUGCUAGAAAUUGGAUACAUUAAACUUGAGAAAUGUAGUCUAUCAUAAGUAGUUUUUAAAAUUGCAGAAGCAAUUGACACCUAGAAAUCUUUUCAAGAGCAUGCUAUAGACUGUUGGGCGUACAAAAUCAUCAUUCUAAUUAAUUAAUUGGUAAAUAUACAAUAUAAAACAAGAAAAAGAGCAACAAGCAAAUUGGAGUAUACUCUUCAGAAAAGCAGAAGCCUUAGUGAUCAAAGGUAGCAUUUUCUUGUUUCUUCUCUUUGUUUGUGGCAUUUCUUAUACGUUCCCCAACAUUAUGAAGUCUACUUACUAAAAAUCUUUAAUGAUUGACUGCUAGUUCUAAAUAUC
Molecule: long non-coding RNA, 639 nt
Filed under: Nicotiana benthamiana
Lineage: Eukaryota; Viridiplantae; Streptophyta; Magnoliopsida; Solanales; Solanaceae
Description: long non-coding RNA (NBEN_LNC038443)
Source: RNAcentral